GCUUUCUCCCCAGAUGCUGCUGGGGCGUAAAGCGAGCGUCGAGCAGGUUGCCGCCUGAUCGGCGCUCAUUUUUU
RNAcentral lists this antisense RNA (74 nucleotides) under Corynebacterium kroppenstedtii. RNAcentral describes it as "ctRNA". It matches the Rfam family "ctRNA". From Rfam's summary of the family: Rolling circle replication plasmids contain a number of mechanisms to maintain a low copy number. The record is from RNAcentral. Lineage: Bacteria; Bacillati; Actinomycetota; Actinomycetes; Mycobacteriales; Corynebacteriaceae.